GCCAGGGUGGUGUAGUGAUUAGCAUAUCUGCCGAGCGAGCAGGAGACCCAGGUUCGAGUCCUGGCCUUGGUA
Schistocerca piceifrons (Central American locust) is the source of this 72-nucleotide non-coding RNA. NCBI's taxonomy places the organism in Eukaryota, Metazoa, Arthropoda, Insecta, Orthoptera, Acrididae. The record is from the annotation of a RefSeq genome assembly.